Molecule: transfer RNA, 73 nt
Filed under: Stegodyphus mimosarum
Lineage: Eukaryota; Metazoa; Arthropoda; Arachnida; Araneae; Eresidae
Rfam family: tRNA
About the family: Transfer RNA (tRNA) molecules are approximately 80 nucleotides in length.
Source: Rfam by way of RNAcentral
GCCUUUGUGGUGUAAUGGUCAGCACACUGAGCCGGUAUUUCAGAGGUCCGUGGUUCGGUUCCCGGAGAAAGCA